GCUGAGGUAGUGUAGUGGUUAGCACGUAGGAUUUUGAUUCCUGAAUCCCCGGUUCGAACCCGGGCCACAGCU
Non-coding RNA from Xylariales sp. No.14919, 72 nucleotides. NCBI's taxonomy places the organism in Eukaryota, Fungi, Ascomycota, Sordariomycetes, Xylariales. The record is from the annotation of a GenBank genome assembly.